RNAcentral lists this ribosomal RNA (330 nucleotides) under Triticum aestivum (bread wheat). RNAcentral describes it as "partial small subunit ribosomal RNA". Lineage: Eukaryota; Viridiplantae; Streptophyta; Magnoliopsida; Poales; Poaceae. The record is from RNAcentral.
UACUUGAAUAAAAGUUUUUCAAUGAAGGACCUUGGAGAAGCUGCUUAUAUAUUAGGCAUCAAAAUCUAUAGAGAUAGAUCGAGACGCCUCAUAGGUCUUUCACAAAGCACAUACCUUGAUAAGAUAUUGAAGAAGUUCAAUAUGGAUCAAUCCAAGAAGGGGUUCUUGCCUGUGUUACAAGGUAUGAAAUUGAGCUCAGCUCAAUGUCCGACCACGGCAGAAGAUAUAGAAGAGAUGAGCGUCAUCCCCUAUGCCUCAGCCAUAGGUUCUAUUAUGUAUGCCAUGCUGUGUACCAGACGUGAUGUAAACCUUGCCGUAAGUUUGGUAGGA